RNAcentral lists this non-coding RNA (148 nucleotides) under Chlorocebus sabaeus (green monkey). The record is from Rfam by way of RNAcentral. Lineage: Eukaryota; Metazoa; Chordata; Mammalia; Primates; Cercopithecidae.
GCCAGGCGUGGUGGUGCGCGCCUGUAAUCCCAGCUACUGAGGAGGCUGAGGUAGGAGAAUCGCUUGAACCUGGGAGGCUGAGGUUGCAGUGAGCUGAGAUCAUGUCUCUGCACUCCAGCCUGGGCGACAGAGCGAGACUCUGUCUCAA